GACGAACGCUGGCGGCGUGCUUAACACAUGCAAGUCGAACGGAAAGGCCCUGCUUUUGUGGGGUGCUCGAGUGGCGAACGGGUGAGUAACACGUGAGUAACCUGCCCUUGACUUUGGGAUAACUUCAGGAAACUGGGGCUAAUACCGGAUAGGAGCUCCUGCUGCAUGGUGGGGGCUGGAAAGUUUCGGCGGUUGGGGAUGGACUCGCGGCUUAUCAGCUUGUUGGUGGGGUAGUGGCUUACCAAGGCUUUGACGGGUAGCCGGCCUGAGAGGGUGACCGGAAAGAGGGGGGCUGGGAGCAGGCGAAGAGUGCGAGGGGAAGAGUGGGGGAGAAAGAGGGAAGGCGGGGAGGGAGCGGGAGGGAGGAAAGGGGCGAGCGGGAGGAGGGCGUUCGGGUGGGAAACCGCGGAGUAGUGGGGGGGAGGGAGAGUGACGGAAAGGGGAAAAGAAGGACCGGCGAAGGACGGGGCAGGAGGCGGGAGAAUAAUGAGAAGAGAAAAGGCAUGAAC
This 509-nucleotide ribosomal RNA is filed under the name uncultured bacterium. Its description in RNAcentral is "partial 16S ribosomal RNA". The stretch from base 20 to 328 matches the Rfam family "Bacterial small subunit ribosomal RNA", at positions 47 to 358 of the family's 1533-position model. The record is from RNAcentral.